GAUCUCAAGUGAAGCGAGACUACCCCCUGAAUUUAAGCAUAUUAUUAAGGGGAGGAAAAGAAAAUAACAAUGAUUCCCCUAGUAACGGCGAGUGAAGCGGGAAGAGCUCAAAUUUGUAAUCUGGCACUUUCAGUGUCCGAGUUGUAAUCUCGAGAAGUGUUUUCCGCGCCGGACCGCAUACAAGUCUGUUGGAAUACAGCGUCAUAGUGGUGAGAACCCCGUAACUGAUGCGGAUGCCCGGUGCUUUGUGAUACACUUUCGAAGAGUCGAGUUGUUUGGGAAUGCAGCUCAAAUUGGGUGGUAAAUUCCAUCUAAAGCUAAAUAUUGGCGAGAGACCGAUAGCGAACAAGUACCGUGAGGGAAAGAU
This 367-nucleotide ribosomal RNA is filed under the name Ctenophora environmental sample. RNAcentral describes it as "partial Eukaryotic large subunit ribosomal RNA". It matches the Rfam family "Eukaryotic large subunit ribosomal RNA", at positions 1 to 365 of the family's 3401-position model. Lineage: Eukaryota; Metazoa; Ctenophora. The record is from RNAcentral.